This is a long non-coding RNA of Manis pentadactyla (Chinese pangolin), 3755 nucleotides long. RefSeq lists it as uncharacterized. The record is from RefSeq and is a predicted model, not a curated record. The transcript is spliced from 4 exons. Lineage: Eukaryota; Metazoa; Chordata; Mammalia; Pholidota; Manidae.
GUAAAUGUGCACAUGUUUUUAAAUUCUCUCCUUCUAGUUGAACAUAACCUUCUGCUUGCUUUCUUCAGUAUGUUUAUCACGUUCCAAUUCUUUUUUCAUGUUUCAUUCUCACAUAUUUAUUCCCACGUUUACAGAGCAGCAGUCCUCUUUAAUCUUGGCCUCGUCUGCGUCCGGACGGGUCCCAGCUCGAAGGCGGCGGCGGCGGCGGCGGCGGGCGGCUCGCGCGGACCUGGCAGCAGCGCAGCGGCGAGCAGGGAACACGCCAGGGAGAAGGAGCCCAGCAAGUGCAUGGUGGGCGGACGGGGUCUCCGUGGGCCCGGCGAGUCCCGGCGGCGCGAGCGGGUCCGGCCGGCGCUGCCCACGCCGCGCGUCGCGCUGCAGCCAGGGCCCGGCGGGCGCGCGUCAGGUGGCGCCUCACAGGAAGCCGGACGUCCGAGCGCCCCUCAUGCGGAGCCGCGAGCUGGAGUCUUACUUGGGCUCUGCCAUGGCUGCUUUCCGAAGACUCAUGAUCAAUCCUCCACGAUGGAAAGCUCUUCUGCUCUGCACUUGAUUGUUUUCCGAUAGAGGGAGGGGAUUUGGCCCAGAAGAAGCCAAUGAAGGGCAAGGCUGACAUAAUAUCCGAGAAGACGGCAAACUGGGACCCGCUCUGCUGGCGCCCGAGGGAGGUCCCGUUUCGGUAGCGACAGCGGUACGAGAGCACCAGGCCCAGCGAGAGGAACACCAGCACGCACAGCAGGAACUCCUUGUUGGCCAAGGAGACGGAGUCUCCGCAUUUCUUAUAAAAAUAGGUGAAAGUAGCAAUGCCAAGAAAAGUCCACAUGGUUCCAAGGCUACUUGGGUGACUCUGGGUCCGUGUUGGGAUCCUUUUUUUCCUUGUAGGGUUUGGAUGAUGACAGGUUUUCCCCGAAAUGCUACCAAAAGGAGCACAAGAAACCGGCCAAACUCCAGUAAAUACCGUAAAAACAGGAUUGCAGUUCAAAUCAGAGCAAUUUACAAAAUCAUAUAAAGUUAUUACUACAAAAGUAUCUGAAGACAGGAAAGUUGUCCAGGACUUAGAAAGUAGUAUUAAAGAAUCGCCUGCUCCAACAGCACCCGACCGGGCUCUCCUCUUUCAGCCAAUCCAUUUAUUUCCUUUUCUCUUGUUUCCUGGAUGGGUUUUUCCUGGGGGUUAUUGCAGGUGAUGUUUUUAAUUUUGAUGUUGGCUCCUAGUGCUGAAAAACCUUUCUCUCUCACCAGCAGCAGGUGCCCUUUCAGAAGACGGUGAGGGGUAAAAAAAAAAUCAAAGAAAUCUUGGCGCUGCGAGAAAGGUGGCCUCGCCUCCUGAGACCGCGAUGCCCGGGCCGGGCUGGCAAGCGCGGAGUACGACUCGCCCCCCUUCGGGCGGCCAGGCUACGCGGCCCAGGUGGAAAUUUCGGGCUGCCGUCUCCCACCAAAGAUGGCCUCGGCUUCACCACUGCGGCUCCGGCGCAGGGAAGGGCAACCCCUGUUGAAAAUCUCCCCACAUCAGCCUCCGAAACACCAGCCCCCGAACCUUCCAGUCCGCGAUUCCGUUUCCCCGCAGGUGAACGGCGAUCUCCAGACAACUUCCCUCAGAGGGAGGCGACUCCCGAUGGCCUCUUCGCCAACAUCCCAAGCCCCGGCGCCGCCGCGCUAGUAACCAGAGUAACCAGCUGAGCUCCGGAGGCUUGUCACUCACCCCGCGCGCCCAACGGCCCAAAGGCUCAGCCCAGGCGAGGGACCAGGGGGCGGGGCUCAAGGAGGAGACCCGCCCCGCCCUGCGCGCAGGCCCCGCCUGCCGCCGCCGCCGGCCAAUGAGGGCGCCCACCGCUCGUAUGCCGAGAUGGCGCUAAGCGGCGUUUGGCCAAUCGUGGACGCCGCUGCCAGAUAGGGGACGCCGGGGAGAGGCAGAGUUGGUGCCGAGGACGUCCCUGCGCCACCUAAAGUCGAGAUGUUUCCAUUCAUUCCGUGGACUUUAAUGAGCGCUUACUACAGUGCCAUCCCGGGGCCACAGGGAUGAAUCAGACACAACCUUUUUGUCCUGUGCCUAGUGUGUGUAGAACCUAGACGGCGGUAGAAAGAGCUACCGGUGUGUGGAGAACCGGGCACUCAAGCUGAAUCUGGAAGGACGAGUAGGCAGCAAUUGCCAGAAGAAAGGAAGAAGAGAUGGUGUGCCGGGUUUUCCCUUCCUCUUCCCCAAAUUGUCAGGCAACUACGCACUUGUCACUGUGCUCAGGCUAAAGACACCCUGAUGCGCUUAGCCUCGUUCUCUCAAGAUAAGAAACGUGGGAAUGGGCGUGGGAGGACGAACGUGAAAUAGAGAUGCCUGGAGAAACUGGGUAGACAGGGAACCAUGGAAACCGGAGGCCGUCUUUCACUCGCCCUGGAGGGAGGCUGGCAAAGUCUCCGAGGAAGUUGCAUGUACCCAAGACAAGCAUUCUGGAGGAAACAGUAAAAGAGUGCGAGUCAAAAGAUGAGAGACAGCCCUUGUUAUGAAACGAUGAAACCUCCCCAGGAUUUACUGAGGCCUGAUUAACAGUGCCGUUGCUGACCUAGACUGCCUUGCCUACUUGAAACUCUAUGACUUCAUGUACAAAUUCUGCCCUCUGGAGCAAUGCUGAAUUGUCACCUUUUCCAUCAGGUCUCCACUGACCCACACCAAGUCACAUGAUAGUUUAUUGAUACCUAUUAUCCCAAUCUCUGACUACACUUGUAAGUUAAGCUUUAUCAUCCCACUCACCACUAUGUUCCUUGAGGGAAGGCCCUCUGUCUGAUGAAUCAGAAUCACCCACAGUACCUAACACAACGUGUUGCACUUAAUUUAUCCUCCAUAAAAAAGUUUUGAUGAAUGAUGAAUGAUAGUGAGGUAGUAGGAAGACCAGAUGACUUGAAUCAGGAGAACUAGAUUCUGGCAGUCACUAACCAGCUUUGUGACCUUGGACAAGUCAAAAGUCAGUCAGCCUCUUGAGGGAAAGGUCAGUAUCUCCAAGAAAUCUAAAUUCUUUGCAAUCCUGAACCUGACACUUUGCAGAGUUCAAGAUAGUAUGGCACCUGCCAUCAUUUUUCAUCCCAAAUAUUGUAUGUUUUAUCUGCUAAUAAAAUAUUUUACAUGUCAAAACGUUUUCUCAGGUGUCAUUUGACUCUCAAAAUCACCUUGAUUUUAAAAAAUAACAAACAUGAAACUUAAAGAGGUUAAGUGCCUUGGCCAAAUCACAGCUUGUAAGUGAUGAAACAAAAAGUUAAACUCCUAGUCUCCAAAUUCAUGUUCCCCAAUACUCUUAACUAUCAGUAACUGCUUUAACUUUCCUCUAUCAUAAAACCAAGACUUUCUCUCCCUAACAAUAUUGCUCAAUGUUACCAACAAAUUCAGCUGUUUGAAAUAUAUAUGAAAUUCAAAAGCAUUCAUGAAAUAAUCAGUUUAAUGUGUGGGAAAUCAUUUUCCUGAAGACAAGUCUUCAAUACACUGCUUGUUGGUACCUUGAGUUCCUAUAUUGCUAAAAUUCUAGAAGGCAUCUGACUCUUACAGAUGAAAACACAGUAUCACCUGGAUGAUUGUUACUUGAUUAUCAUAUUUGAGAUUAACAUAGGAUUGUUUUCUUUUUAAGUAAUUUAAAAAUCUUUUGAAAGCCACUUCAUGUGUUUACAGUCCAAGAUCCACGGCUGUACUUGGGGCAAAAAGAGCAUUUGUAAUGCCUAGCAUAGGGCACACUCUGAAUGCUUAUAUUGCCUGGGCUUAAUUAAAGGCUAUAUAACCAUCA